GAAAAGGUUUUAAAAACGAACCGUUGGAUUUGGGAAGUCAAAAAGUUUGGGUCGGUGUAUUUGGCGCUUAAUAUACAAACGAACCGUUCUUCAUUCGUCACUCUCACUCAUCCCGCUCUCCAAACACCGCCGGAGAGACUCACCGCGUUCUCUGUAACUCCGCUUCUCGGAGACCCAAGCACCCCUAUCCUUCGCCACUCACUCACAACCAUGUCUACGAUCCAAAUCAAUUGACAAGAUCGCUGUUUGGAUUGUUGUUUUCGCCCUUUCAGCAAGUACUACAAAAGGGCCUCUUUUAGCCUACAAUGUUAUCGAUCUCCAUUCACACUGAGAGAUAUUAUUUUUCAAGAUUUGAAGUGCAGUUUAUCACCAGGUAUCUACACUGAUGCACUUAAUUUCCAAAUAUUUUGAAUUAAUGGUUCAUUAAUAAUGCUGAUAGAUGCUCAAAGAUCACCAUUGGCUGCACUCCUAACAGGGAUUUUCAUUCUGUUUCACUUGCUACUAAGGCGAAAAACAAAAUACACACAAAUUUAUGUUUUUUGGAUCUUUAAGUGUAUUUCAUUCUUUUUUUUUUAAUACUAAUUUCAAACUUAUUAAGCCUCUUAUCAUGCUUUCGUUCUUGGAAUAGGGGAUGAUGGUUGAUGUAGUGGUCAACAAUGCAGGUUACAUAAUUCUUUCUUCCCUCGCUUCUUAAACUCUAAACCUGAAUCACAUGUUUGUCUUUUAGUUUGAUCUCAACCAAUGAUCCAAGGAUUAUAAAGGAUAGUUUGUUGAUGAGGAUGAAGACAUGUCAAUGGCAGGAAGUUGUUGAUUUUGAUUCUCACUGGUGUAUUCCUAUCUACACAAUGAUACAUAGGUUGCUGCCAAAAUUAUGAUGAAAAAGAAAAAGGAUUAUUCACAACACCCAAUUAUAGAAUUUUAUGAAGGCAUACAAUGAUAAAAGGAGCAAACUCCUGAUGAGGUAAA
This is a non-coding RNA of Lactuca sativa (garden lettuce), 966 nucleotides long. The record is from RefSeq and is a predicted model, not a curated record. NCBI's taxonomy places the organism in Eukaryota, Viridiplantae, Streptophyta, Magnoliopsida, Asterales, Asteraceae.